CAGUAGCCGCGGGAAUACGGAGGGUGCAAGCGUUAUCCGGAUUCACUGGGUUUAAAGGGUGCGUAGGCGGAUCUGUAAGUCAGUGGUGAAAUCUCCAGGCUUAACCUGGAAACUGCCGUUGAUACUAUAGGUCUUGAAUUUUGUGGAGGUUAGCGGAAUAUGUCAUGUAGUGGUGAAAUGCAUAGAUAUGACAUAGUACACCAAUUGCGAAGGCAGCUGGCUACACAACUAUUGACGCUGAGGCACGAAAGCGUGGGGAUCAAACAGGAUUAGAUACCCCAGUAGUCCCUGUCUCUUAUAC
Molecule: ribosomal RNA, 301 nt
Filed under: uncultured bacterium
Lineage: Bacteria
Description: partial 16S ribosomal RNA
Rfam family: Bacterial small subunit ribosomal RNA
Source: RNAcentral